Non-coding RNA from Felis catus (domestic cat), 85 nucleotides. NCBI's taxonomy places the organism in Eukaryota, Metazoa, Chordata, Mammalia, Carnivora, Felidae. The record is from Rfam.
GCCUGGGUGGCUCAGUUGGUUAAGCAUCUGACUUCAGCUCAGAUCAUGAUCUCACGGUUCGUGUGUUCAAGCCCCAUGUCAGGCU